This 301-nucleotide ribosomal RNA is filed under the name uncultured bacterium. Its description in RNAcentral is "partial 16S ribosomal RNA". It matches the Rfam family "Bacterial small subunit ribosomal RNA", at positions 509 to 807 of the family's 1533-position model. The record is from RNAcentral.
CAGUAGCCGCGGGAAUACGGAGGGUGCAAGCGUUAAUCGGAAUUACUGGGCGUAAAGCGUGCGCAGGCGGUUCGGAAAGAAAGGUGUGAAAUCCCAGGGCUUAACCUUGGAACUGCACUUUUAACUACCGGGCUAGAGUGUGUCAGAGGGGGGUGGAAUUCCGCGUGUAGCAGUGAAAUGCGUAGAGAUGCGGAGGAACACCGAUGGCGAAGGCAGCCCCCUGGGAUAACACUGACGCUCAUGCACGAAAGCGUGGGGAGCAAACAGGAUUAGAUACCCGAGUAGUCCCUGUCUCUUAUAC